RNAcentral lists this ribosomal RNA (116 nucleotides) under Pseudozyma flocculosa. Lineage: Eukaryota; Fungi; Basidiomycota; Ustilaginomycetes; Ustilaginales; Ustilaginaceae. The record is from RNAcentral.
GCGCCAUAGGACCCUGAAAGCACUGCAUCCCGUCCGAUCUGCAAAGUUAAGCAGCGGUACCGCCUAGCUAGUACUGCCGGUGGGGGACCACGCGGGAAUCCUAGGUGCUGCAGUUU